Molecule: ribosomal RNA, 252 nt
Filed under: uncultured bacterium
Lineage: Bacteria
Description: partial 16S ribosomal RNA
Rfam family: Bacterial small subunit ribosomal RNA
Source: RNAcentral
UACGUAGGGGGCAAGCGUUGUCCGGAAUUAUUGGGCGUAAAGCGCGCGCAGGCGGUUCUUUAAGUCUGGUGUCUAAGUGCGGGGCUCAACCCCGUGUCGCACUGGAAACUGGGGAACUUGAGUGCAGAAGAGGAAAGCGGAAUUCCACGUGUAGCGGUGAAAUGCGUAGAGAUGUGGAGGAACACCAGUGGCGAAGGCGGCUUUCUGGGCCCGUCCUGACGCUGAGGCGCGAAAGCUAGGGGAGCGAACAGG